This 157-nucleotide small RNA is filed under the name Arabidopsis thaliana (thale cress). RNAcentral's name for it is "ATSL062950". The record is from RNAcentral. Lineage: Eukaryota; Viridiplantae; Streptophyta; Magnoliopsida; Brassicales; Brassicaceae.
CGAUAUCAAGUUUCAUAUCUCUCUUUUGCAUAUACUCAAACACCACCAAUGCUGUCUCUACAUUCCCAUUAUUACAAAGCCCAUCUAAUAAAAUGUUGUAUGUCAUAAUAUCGGGAUGCACACCAUCAGAAACCAUCUGUUUGAAAACCAUUUGGGC